Molecule: ribosomal RNA, 468 nt
Filed under: uncultured bacterium
Lineage: Bacteria
Description: partial 16S ribosomal RNA
Rfam family: Bacterial small subunit ribosomal RNA
Source: RNAcentral
GACGAACGCUGGCGGCGUGCUUAACACAUGCAAGUCGAACGGAAAGGCCCUGCCUUUGUGGGGUGCUUGAGUGGCGAACGGGUGAGUAACACGUGAGUAACCUGCCCCUGACUUUGGGAUAACCUCAGGAAACUGGGGCUAAUACCGGAUAGGAGCUCCUGCUGCAUGGUGGGGGUUGGAAAGUUUCGGCGGUUGGGGAUGGACUCGCGGCCUAUCAGCUUGUUGGUGGGGUAGUGGCUUACCAAGGCUUUGACGGGUAGCCGGCCUGAGAGGGUGACCGGCCACAUUGGGACUGAGAUACGGCCCAGACUCCUACGGGAGGCAGCAGUGGGGAAUAUUGCACAAUGGGCGGAAGCCUGAUGCAGCAACGCCGCGUGCGGGAUGACGGCCUUCGGGUUGUAAACCUCUUUCGCCUGUGACGAAGCGAGAGUGACGGUAAUGGGUGAAGAAGCGCCGGCUAACUACGUG